This 402-nucleotide ribosomal RNA is filed under the name uncultured bacterium. RNAcentral's name for it is "bacterial SSU rRNA". It matches the Rfam family "Bacterial small subunit ribosomal RNA", at positions 355 to 774 of the family's 1533-position model. The record is from RNAcentral.
UCGGGAAUUUUGGGCAAUGGGCGAAAGCCUGACCCAGCAACGCCGCGUGAGGGAUGAAGUAUUUCGGUAUGUAAAGCUCUUUUACCCGGGAUGAUAAUGACAGUACCGGGAGAAUAAGCUCCGGCUAACUUCGUGCCAGCAGCCGCGGUAAUACGAGGGGAGCUAGCGUUGUUCGGAAUUACUGGGCGUAAAGCGCGCGUAGGCGGUUUUUUAAGUCAGAGGUGAAAGCCCGGGGCUCAACCCCGGAAUUGCCUUUGAAACUGGAAAACUAGAAUCUUGGAGAGGUCAGUGGAAUUCCGAGUGUAGAGGUGAAAUUCGUAGAUAUUCGGAAGAACACCAGUGGCGAAGGCGACUGACUGGACAAGUAUUGACGCUGAGGUGCGAAAGCGUGGGGAGCAAACA